This 434-nucleotide ribosomal RNA is filed under the name uncultured Lachnospiraceae bacterium. Its description in RNAcentral is "bacterial SSU rRNA". It matches the Rfam family "Bacterial small subunit ribosomal RNA", at positions 341 to 792 of the family's 1533-position model. The record is from RNAcentral. Lineage: Bacteria; Bacillati; Bacillota; Clostridia; Lachnospirales; Lachnospiraceae.
ACGGAAGGCAGCAGUGGGGAAUCUUGGACAAUGGGGGAAACCCUGAUCCAGCGACGCCGCGUGAGUGAAGAAGUAUUUCGGUAUGUAAAGCUCUAUCAGCAAGGAAGAAAAUGACGGUACUUGACUAAGAAGCUCCGGCUAAAUACGUGCCAGCAGCCGCGGUAAUACGUAUGGAGCAAUCGUUAUCCGGAUUUACUGGGUGUAAAGGGAGCGUAGACGGCAAAGCAAGUCUGAAGUGAAAUCCCGGGGCGCAACCCCGGAACUGCUUUGGAAACUGUUUAGCUAGAGUGCAGGAGAGGUAAGCGGAAUUCCUAGUGUAGCGGUGAAAUGCGUAGAUAUUAGGAGGAACACCAGUGGCGAAGGCGGCUUACUGGACUGUAACUGACGUUGAGGCUCGAAAGCGUGGGGAGCAAACAGGAUUAGAUACCCUGGUA